Molecule: ribosomal RNA, 473 nt
Filed under: uncultured bacterium
Lineage: Bacteria
Description: bacterial SSU rRNA
Rfam family: Bacterial small subunit ribosomal RNA
Source: RNAcentral
GUCGAACGCUUCAGCAAUGAAGAGUGGCAGACGGGUGAGUAACGCGUGGGAACCUUCCCAGUGGUACGGAAUAGCCCAGGGAAACUUGGGGUAAUACCGUAUAAGCCCUUAGGGGGAAAGAUUUAUCGCCAUUGGAUGGGCCCGCGUCGGAUUAGCUUGUUGGUGAGGUAAAAGCUCACCAAGGCGACGAUCCGUAGCUGGUCUGAGAGGAUGAUCAGCCACACUGGGACUGAGACACGGCCCAGACUCCUACGGGAGGCAGCAGUGGGGAAUAUUGGACAAUGGGCGCAAGCCUGAUCCAGCCAUGCCGCGUGAGUGACGAAGGCCUUAGGGUUGUAAAGCUCUUUUGGCGGGGACGAUAAUGACGGUACCCGCAGAAUAAGCUCCGGCUAACUUCGUGCCAGCAGCCGCGGUAAUACGAAGGGGGCUAGCGUUGUUCGGAAUUACUGGGCGUAAAGCGUACGUAGGCGGAC